This 1392-nucleotide ribosomal RNA is filed under the name metagenome. Its description in RNAcentral is "bacterial SSU rRNA". It matches the Rfam family "Archaeal small subunit ribosomal RNA". The record is from RNAcentral.
GGAUUCGACUUAGCCAUGCAAGUCUGGGGACUUCGGUCACCGGCGAAAGGCUCAGUAACACGUCGAUAAUCUGCCCUAUGGUCGGGAAUAGCCUCGGGAAACUGAGGGUAAAUCCUGAUAGGAAAUUCAUUCUGGGAUGAAGAAUUUUUUAAACUCGUGCCAUAGGAUGAGUCGGCGGUUGAUUAGGUUGUUGGUGGGGUAAAGGCCCACCAAGCCGAAGAUCAGUAGGGGCCAUGAAAGUGGUAGCCCCGAGAAGGACACUGAGACACUGGUCCUAGCCCUACGGGGUGCAGCAGGCGCGUAACCUUUACAAUGCACGCAAGUGUGAUAAGGGGAUCCCAAGUGCUUAUACACUGUAUAGGCUUUUGCCAAGAGCAAACAUCUUGGCGAAUAAGUGGUGGGUAAGACGGGUGCCAGCCGCCGCGGUAACACCUGCGCCACUAGUGGCAAUCACAUAUUAGGCCUAAAGCGUCCGUAGCCGGUUGGAUAAAUCUUUUGUGAAAUCGUCAAGCUUAACUUGACGGCGUGCAGAAGACACUAUUCGACUCGAGACUGGGAGGAGUCAGAGGUAUUUCUGGGGGACUGGUAAAAUGGUAUAAUCCCGGAAAGACCACCUGUGGCGAAGGCGUCUGACCAGAACAGAUCUGACGGUGAGGGACGAAAGCUAGGGGAGCGAACCGGAUUAGAUACCCGAGUAGUCCUAGCAGUAAACGCUGCGAGCUAGGUGUUGCAUAUUCUACGAGAAUGUGCAGUGUCGAAACGAAGGUAAUAAGCUCGCCGCCUGGGAAGUACGGUCGCAAGACUGAAACUUUAAGGAAUUGGCGGGGGAGCACCACAAGGGGUGCGGCGUGCGGUUUAAUCUAACUCAACACAGAAAAUCUCACUAGAGGCGACGGCAGAAUGAUGGUCAGUCUGAAGGGCUUACCUGACGAGCCGAGAGGUAGUGCAUGGCCGCCGUCAGCUCGUGCCGUAAGGUGUCCAGCUAAGUCUGGUAACGAGCGAGACCUGUAUCCAUAAUUGCCAGCGACUACAUGUAGGAUCGGGCACAUUAUGGAGACUGCCCUCGAAAGGGGGAGGAAGGUGCAGGCUACGGUAGGUCUGUAUGCUCCGAAUCUUCUAGGCUACACGCGCGCAACAAUGGUAAAGACAAUGGGAUACGACUCCGUAAGGAGAAGUUAAUCCUCGAAACUUUAUCUUAGUUCAGAUCGAGGGCUGUAACUCGCCCUCGUGACGCUGGAAUCCCUAGUAAUCAGAAGUCAUCAUCUUCUGGUGAAUAUGUCCCUGCUCCUUGCACACACCGCCCGUCAAACCAACCGAGCAGGGUCUUGUUGAGACGUAUGUUAAUUACGCCGAAACUAGGCUCAGUGAGGUGGGUUAAGUCGUCACAAGGUA